RNAcentral lists this ribosomal RNA (469 nucleotides) under Flavobacteriaceae bacterium JJ-49. RNAcentral describes it as "bacterial SSU rRNA". It matches the Rfam family "Bacterial small subunit ribosomal RNA", at positions 23 to 494 of the family's 1533-position model. The record is from RNAcentral. Lineage: Bacteria; Pseudomonadati; Bacteroidota; Flavobacteriia; Flavobacteriales; Flavobacteriaceae.
CUCAGGAUGAACGCUAGCGGCAGGCUUAACACAUGCAAGUCGAGGGGUAUUAGUUUUCGGAGUUAGAGACCGGCGCACGGGUGCGUAACGCGUAUGCAAUCUACCUUUUACAGAGGGAUAGCCCAGAGAAAUUUGGAUUAAUACCUCAUAGCAUAGCAGMAUGGCAUCAAUCCGCUAUUAAAGUCACAACGGUAAAAGAUGAGCAUGCGUCCCAUUAGCUAGUUGGUAAGGUAACGGCUUACCAAGGCUACGAUGGGUAGGGGUCCUGAGAGGGAGAUCCCCCACACUGGUACUGAGACACGGACCAGACUCCUACGGGAGGCAGCAGUGAGGAAUAUUGGACAAUGGGCGCAAGCCUGAUCCAGCCAUGCCGCGUGCAGGAUGACGGUCCUAUGGAUUGUAAACUGCUUUUAUACGAGAAGAAACACUCUUCGUGAAGGAGCUUGACGGUAUCGUAAGAAUAAGGAUC